CAAUAGCGUAUAUUAAAGUUGUUGCAGUUAAAAGCUCGUAGUUGGAUUUCUGGUGGGCGCAUCCGGUCCGCUCCGCAAGGAGUGUGCACUGGCGAUGUCGCCGGCCACUUUUACGGCGAACGAUUCUGGCAUUAAGUUGUCGGGGUCGGGAGCCGUAUCAUUUACUUGUGAAAAAUUAAGAGUGUUUAAAGUACAGGCAUUUGUCUGUGAAUACAUUAGCAUGGAAUAAUAAGAUAGGACUUUGGUUGCUAUUUUGUUUGGUUUGCACGCCAAGGUAAUGAUUAACAGGGACGAGUUGGGGGUAGUUCGUAUUUUGUAUGUCAGAGGUGAAAUUCUUGGAUUUUCGUAAAGACGAACUUCUGCGAAAGCAUUUACCUAAGGAU
This 383-nucleotide ribosomal RNA is filed under the name uncultured eukaryote. RNAcentral describes it as "bacterial SSU rRNA". It matches the Rfam family "Eukaryotic small subunit ribosomal RNA", at positions 592 to 965 of the family's 1831-position model. The record is from RNAcentral.